Molecule: long non-coding RNA, 387 nt
Filed under: Salvia miltiorrhiza (redroot sage)
Lineage: Eukaryota; Viridiplantae; Streptophyta; Magnoliopsida; Lamiales; Lamiaceae
Description: long non-coding RNA (SMIL_LNC005483)
Source: RNAcentral
CUCGCCCAAAGAAAAUAAUCUAAUAUCAUAGAAUGUAUCCAAAAUAAUAAAGAAUAGUACACAGAAAAUUAUUAUCCAAUUCCGAUAAUAAAACACCUACAAAUGAGGGCCUCGCCAAGGAAAAAUGAUCUAUAACGACUCACCCAGCUGGUGAACAACUACAAGCAGGAUAACGACUCACCCCUAGACGUGAUCUCAACGUAUUCACCACCUAAUCCCUGAAACACAUUCACCACCAAGAAAAGAACUAGUAUCAAGAAACGCAUCACAUGCAACUAGUUCGGGGGACAUAUAGCAGGAACACAAAAAUUCUCGAUUACAUGGCGAGAGCAAUUUAGCAUGAAUUUUUCCCAUCUUCUUGAACGAAAUUGGAUCCUCUUAGCCUUC